AUGAGUCAGGCUGCUUACAACCUGUCCGGGAGCCAGUCACAAUCAGGACACAGCAUGGACAUGGGGGUCUCCGCUCAGCUCCUCGGGCUCCUUCUGCUCUGGUUCCCAGGUGCCAGAUGUGACAUCCAGAUGACCCAGUCUCCAUCCUCCUUGUCUGCAUCUCUAGGAGACACAGUCACCAUCACUUGCCAGGCUAGUCAGGGCAUUAUCAAUUGGUUAUCCUGGUAUCAACAGAAACCAGGGAAGGCUCCCAAGCUCCUGAUCUAUGCUGCAUCUAAUUUACAAAGUGGGGUCUCAUCAAGGUUCAGUGGCAGUGGAUCAGGGACAGAUUUUACUCUUACCAUCAGCAGCCUGGAAGCUGAUGAUGUUGGAACUUAUUACUGUCAACACAGCUAUAGUACUCCUCCCACAGUGUUACAAGCCCAUACAUAA
This is a non-coding RNA of Cynocephalus volans (Philippine flying lemur), 432 nucleotides long. The record is from the annotation of a RefSeq genome assembly. NCBI's taxonomy places the organism in Eukaryota, Metazoa, Chordata, Mammalia, Dermoptera, Cynocephalidae.